RNAcentral lists this ribosomal RNA (679 nucleotides) under uncultured organism. Its description in RNAcentral is "bacterial SSU rRNA". It matches the Rfam family "Bacterial small subunit ribosomal RNA", at positions 59 to 749 of the family's 1533-position model. The record is from RNAcentral.
UAGUCGCGCGAUAAAUUGCCUUCGGGCGAUGGAAAGCGGCGAAAGGGAGAGUAACACGCGGGUACCUACCCUCAGGACCGGGAUAGCUGCGGGAAACUGCAAUUAAUACCGGAUGAAGUCUCCGGACCAAAGGUGUGAUUCCGCCGGAGGAGGGGCCCACGUCCUAUCAGCUAGUUGGCGAGGUAAUAGCUCACCAAGGCUACGACGGGUACGGGGUGUGAGAGCAUGCCCCCGCUCACUGGGACUGAGACACUGCCCAGACACCUACGGGUGGCUGCAGUCGAGAAUCUUCCGCAAUGGGCGAAAGCCUGACGGAGCGACGCCGCGUGCGGGAUGAAGGCCUUCGGGUUGUAAACCGCUGUCAGUGGGGAGGAAAUACAUGGGGGUUCUCCCUCGUGUUUGACCGAUCCGCAGAGGAAGCACAGGCUAAGUUCGUGCCAGCAGCCGCGGUAACACGAACUGUGCAAACGUUAUUCGGAAUCACUGGGCUUAAAGAGUUCGUAGGCGGCGCGUCAAGUCGGGUGUGAAAUCCCUCGGCUCAACCGAGGAAUUGCGUCCGAAACUGGCGUGCUUGAGUGAGAUAGAGGUGAGCGGAACUGAUGGUGGAGCGGUGAAAUGCGUUGAUAUCAUCACGAACACCGGUGGCGAAAGCGGCUCACUGGGUCUCAACUGACGCUGA